GCUGGAUAGCUCAGCUGGUUCGAGCAUGGUGCUGGUAAUGCCAAGGUUGCAGGUUCAAUCCCCAUAAGGGGCAGCU
Molecule: transfer RNA, 76 nt
Filed under: Podarcis lilfordi (Lilford's wall lizard)
Lineage: Eukaryota; Metazoa; Chordata; Lepidosauria; Squamata; Lacertidae
Description: tRNA.Thr
Source: RNAcentral